Molecule: transfer RNA, 72 nt
Organism: Enterocytozoon bieneusi H348
Lineage: Eukaryota; Fungi; Microsporidia; Enterocytozoonidae
Rfam family: tRNA
About the family: Transfer RNA (tRNA) molecules are approximately 80 nucleotides in length. Their secondary structure includes four short double-helical elements and three loops (D, anti-codon, and T loops).
Source: Rfam
GCCUCCUUAGCUCAGUCGGUAGAGCAUUGACUUUUAAUCCAUUGGUCGUGGUUUCGAGUCCCAUAGGGGGUG